This 840-nucleotide ribosomal RNA is filed under the name uncultured Intrasporangiaceae bacterium. RNAcentral's name for it is "bacterial SSU rRNA". It matches the Rfam family "Bacterial small subunit ribosomal RNA", at positions 61 to 897 of the family's 1533-position model. The record is from RNAcentral. Lineage: Bacteria; Bacillati; Actinomycetota; Actinomycetes; Micrococcales; Intrasporangiaceae.
GUCGGACGGUGAUGAGGGGCUUGCCCUUCUGAUCAGUGGCGAACGGGUGAGUAACACGUGAGUAACCUGCCCUUCACUCUGGGAUAACUCCGGGAAACCGGGGCUAAUACUGGAUAUGACCUGCUCGGGCAUCCGAUGUGGGUGGAAAGAUUUAUUGGUGGGGGAUGGACUCGCGGCCUAUCAGCUUGUUGGUGAGGUAAUGGCUUACCAAGGCGACGACGGGUAGCCGGCCUGAGAGGGCGAUCGGCCACACUGGGACUGAGACACGGCCCAGACUCCUACGGGAGGCAGCAGUGGGGAAUAUUGCACAAUGGGCGAAAGCCUGAUGCAGCGACGCCGCGUGAGGGAUGAAGGCCUUCGGGUUGUAAACCUCUUUCAGCAGGGAAGAAGUGGCCGGGUUUUCUCGGUUGUGACGGUACCUGCAGAAGAAGCACCGGCUAACUACGUGCCAGCAGCCGCGGUAAUACGUAGGGUGCGAGCGUUGUCCGGAAUUAUUGGGCGUAAAGAGCUUGUAGGCGGUUUGUCGCGUCUGCUGUGAAAUUUCGGGGCUCAACCCCGAACUUGCAGUGGGUACGGGCAGACUAGAGUGUGGUAGGGGAGACUGGAAUUCCUGGUGUAGCGGUGAAAUGCGCAGAUAUCAGGAGGAACACCGAUGGCGAAGGCAGGUCUCUGGGCCACUACUGACGCUGAGAAGCGAAAGCAUGGGGAGCGAACAGGAUUAGAUACCCUGGUAGUCCAUGCCGUAAACGUUGGGAACUAGGUGUGGGUCUCAUUCCACGAGAUCCGUGCCGCAGCUAACGCAUUAAGUUCCCCGCCUGGGGAGUACGGCCGCAAGGCUAA